CUCACGAGGGAGGCGUGUUAUUUUGGGGUGGUUCAGGUCCUGGAGCCUUUUGUGGAGUGUGGGAGGGUUCCUUGCGAUUUGAGGUCCUCGAAGGAGGUGAAGAAGGGGGUUUGGCAGUCGCACGAUCGAUUUGAGCAAAGUGUUCAGCUUUUCAGCGUGAUGGUGGUGGCGGAAUAGUGUUCUUAGUUUUUGGUUUCGAGUCGGACGCAGACUCGAGCGUUGGCGGCUACUGAGGCGUGACCUGUGAGGGUGGUGUCGGGAUAGAGUUGUGGGGCUUUUUCACUUCUGUAGAUAGAUUGGAAGCAUCGUGAAGUAUUUCAUGGCUCUUCUCGGUUGUCGGGGAUACGUCUGAUUGGCAUGAGAGGGAGUAAACCAGGUUUCUGUCUGCGGGGGGAGGUUUUGAAAGCUUUUGGGAGUGUUUUUUUGACAAAUUUGAACAUUGGAAUAGCUUUCACUCGGGAGUAGAAGGUAUUACGUAGCAGGUGGGCUUCGUUGGGAAUUGCGAGGAAGAGAAGUAGAGCGUGUGUGAGGACUCGGGACUUGAGUGAUUGUUUGAGGGGUUUUGAAGGGUGCGGGGAGAAUUGCCGUCAGAGACAGUUGGUUUGGUGAGAGAGGUUACGCGUUCACUGUGAUGUCUUCCCCCUCACAGUAUUUGGAUUUCGUAGGUAAGGGUGUGGGUUCAUGAGAAGGCACAUUUCCCACAAAGAUAGUGGCGGAAUUUUCAGAUUAGCGCCGUCUGUUCAGAAUACAACUGGAACCACCUAGGUUACCAGUUGUCUAUUCUACUUCACUUCUCUCCGACAGGGAGAACAACGGAACAUUCUUGUUAUGUUGGUCCUCCACGAGCUGCCUAUCGAGAUGUUUUGCCGUUACAUUGUGGUUUCCGUCCAAUGCCCUGCGUGUUUCUUGCGCCGUUGAAGUGCGCUUUAUCUGAACGCUUUUGCGAGGAGUAGUUUAUGGUUGGAGAAUUUCAGUGUCUCCGCAAAUGGCGUACGGAGACGUUUCGCAGCAUUGGUCCCUACGCCGUUAGUUGCUUUUCGCGAAAUCUUGGAAGCCAGCCUGGCAGGCGUCGUUGAUGUCCCCCAUCAGUUCGUAUUGGUCUGCGGUUUUAUUUUAAUCUAUGCUAAUGGUGAUUCGAGGGUUCCUUCGUGCCUUAUUUGUCAGGCUCUAGUUUAUUAAUUCUGGAGGAUCUUGCCGUUGCAUUCAAGAUAGUGGGUUAGCUGCGACCCAACUUACGCGUGGGACUCUGCAACAUUUCAGCAAUGGAUUCAAGAAUAGACAUGGAAAAGGAAGGCACGGCCAUGCAGGCGCUGUUGGGGGGUGAAAGCAAUGGGGACACGCCAUGGCGGUUGAAUGCAAAUUCAUUUCGAUUGCCAGAACACCUUCAUCCCGAGUCACCGAAGACUGCUGCUGCCGAUUGUAUGAAAAAAUUCAGCGGUGAAAAGGGCAUUGAUGAAUACUACAGACAGCAAGAGGAGAUGUUAGAAAGCUUUGUGGAAAUGGAUUCCAUCGCAGAACGAGGUUACAGGCUCAGCAGCACUGAAGAGGAGCGAGACAACAUAAAGCGUGGAGAGAAUUUUGCCAUCCAAAUUUCAAAUGUUAUGAAUUUGGUCAUCUUUGCAGCAAAAGUCUAUGCCUGCGUGAGGAGUGGCUCGUUAGCAAUAAUUGCUUCCACUUUGGACUCAUUGCUAGACCUACUUUCUGGUUUCAUUCUCUGGUUCACUGCAAUUUCUAUGCGCAAGCAGAACCCCUAUCUCUAUCCAAUUGGCAAGAAGCGGAUGCAGCCUCUGGGUAUUCUGGUUUUUGCUUCAGUAAUGGCAACACUUGGUCUUCAAAUCAUUCUAGAAUCCGUACGGACUCUAAUCACUCAGGAACACUCGCUUGCCCUAAAUGAGUCCAGGAACUGGGUGGUUGGGAUCAUGUUGGGAACGACAGUCAUAAAGUUUAUGCUGAUGGUAUAUUGUCGAACGUUUAGUGAUGAGAUUGUGAGGGCCUAUGCGCAAGAUCACUUUUUUGACGUUAUGACCAACAUGAUCGGUCUUAUUGCGGCAGUAUUAGCCAGCAUAUUUUCCUGGUGGCUUGAUCCUGCAGGCGCCAUUGUGCUGGCUCUUUACACAAUGCGGACGUGGUCACUGACGGUGCUAGAGAAUGUGAAUGCUUUGGUCAGUCGAACGGCCUCUCCGGAUUUUCUACGAAAGUUGACGUACCUUUGCUGGAAUCAUCACAAGGAAAUACGUCAAAUCGAUACCGUCCGUGCUUACACCUUUGGCUCGCAUUACUUCGCGGAGGUUGAUAUUGUACUUGCGGCAGAUAUGCCUCUGCGACAAGCGCACGACAUCGGCGAAUCGCUUCAGGACAAGCUAGAAUCACUUCCAGAAAUAGAGCGAGCCUUUGUUCAUCUCGAUUACGAAGUCACUCAUCGGCCCGAGCAUGCUUACAAAGACUAAUAACGUUUCAUUGGCUCCGACAUUCUAUGUUUUGAGUCUCGAUUUGGAAGCCAGGAAAAACUGAGCCACACAGAAUGGUCGUUGUCAGUCGAGUCUUGUCCAACUUCACUUUGCGUUUCCAAUUCUUGCUGCAUUGUAGAAGGGAAGCUUCAGCUGUCUGAUUUUAUUUGCCUUAUGGAAGCGGUAAUAUCAUGCCCAUGGUUUGCACAACAGAGAAUUGCUGCUCUUCUGUUCAGUCCAGGGGGUGAUGACUUAGGUUUGUAUGGAAUGCGGGAAUUGAUAACUUUUCACCUUCAACAACUGCAGCUACUGUGAAAAGAGAGUUGUGGGCACCAGACGAAGAUGGUGAGAAGAAUGUGGACGAAUAAAAUCUCCAGUGGUCGAACGAGUAUGUGGUGCUCUUUUUGAAGAAAGGAUUGGUUUUAUUGAAGGAUUGGGCGACUUCUCCCAAUGCAUGAUCCUGUAUUGACCAGUUGUGCGUGACAAUCGAAUCAUGACUGCGAUAGUACAGCAUGACUUAUCUACUCUGACUGGUGAAGCAGCCGCGUCAUGAAGAGAUCAUACGUCAUGAUAUCAUCUCCUGAACUCCCAAGUCGUGUCAUGAGUUGGGUCUAGGGGAACGUCUACGGCAUCGCCACUAGUGACUCGAACAUUAGGGGCGAUGAACCCGUUGAGCCAACGCAGCAUGCGGCACGCUUCGUACAUGUCACUGACUAUAUAGAAAUUACAAGUAGCUAGUCACCUUGUGAAAUGUAGUUCACAGUGCUAAAUCUUCGCAACAAUGUACAUGGAUGCUCUUCUUACUCGACAUUUAAUGUAUUCCGACACCAAAAUAUUCGUAAGAGACUAAUAACUCUAGUUAAGAAAGUUCGUUUUAGAUGCAUCAUUUGUAAGCAAAAAGUCUUAUUGCCCAGUAACAAAGUAGAAUAUGGUGAAAAGCUCCCACUGUCUCUAUUUUCUUU
Physcomitrium patens is the source of this 3409-nucleotide non-coding RNA. The record is from RefSeq and is a predicted model, not a curated record. Lineage: Eukaryota; Viridiplantae; Streptophyta; Bryopsida; Funariales; Funariaceae.